AAACGACUCUCGGCAACGGAUAUCUCGGCUCUCGCAUCGAUGAAGAACGUAGCGAAAUGCGAUACUUGGUGUGAAUUGCAGAAUCCCGUGAACCAUCGAGUUUUUGAACGCAAGUUGCGCCCGAAGCCUUCUGGCUGAGGGCACGUCUGCCUGGGCGUCACGCA
Molecule: ribosomal RNA, 164 nt
Filed under: Oxygonum delagoense
Lineage: Eukaryota; Viridiplantae; Streptophyta; Magnoliopsida; Caryophyllales; Polygonaceae
Also listed under: 1 other name
Description: 5.8S ribosomal RNA
Rfam family: 5.8S ribosomal RNA
About the family: 5.8S ribosomal RNA (5.8S rRNA) is a component of the large subunit of the eukaryotic ribosome. It is transcribed by RNA polymerase I as part of the 45S precursor that also contains 18S and 28S rRNA. Functionally, it is thought that 5.8S rRNA may be involved in ribosome translocation.
Source: RNAcentral